AACCCUGAUGGUCGCAAGCCGAUUCUGUAAAGUUACGUACGAAACUACACUAUAAGGUGUUCUUUAUUGAAAUUUCCAGUAAACAUGCAAGAACCCAAACAUUGGUGACCUUAGAUUGAUCCUAUAACCACAUGUAUCAACAUGCCUGAAGAAGUCGCCACAGACAAAACGCGUUGGUGAAAACUCUUUUGUUGUUGUUUAAGAGAAACUGUCUGGCAAUUGGCCAAAUUGGUUAUUCACUGACACCUAAGACUGUUGUUAAGGAAAAAUAAUAUAUGAAAUAUAUGUGGAUUGUUUUAAUGUAUUUUAAAUAGUUUUAUUGAGAUUAAAUUGUCUAAAUGGUCACAUAUGUAUAGAAAUGUAUUGAGUGUACUCUAAACAAGUUUUUUAGGAAUUAUUAUAAUACUCAUCCCAUAUUUAAGUUAGUCAUCAUAAUUUAAAACCGAGUAGUGAGACUUCAGUUCCACAAGACAGUAAUAGAGUGCUCCCCAGAAAUAACUAUCUACCUAUUCAAAUUCUAUGCCCAAACUGACAAGAAGGACAUUUUUUUUAUUAGGUAGGAGCCAAGAUAUAAAUAUUAUUAGACAAUUAGAAGUUAUUAUCAUUUAGAAGAAUCUUCAUUAAAAUUAUUGUAUACUCUAGCGCAUAGAGGUAACGUUAAAUUACUAAAUAAAUUCAUCUUAUACUUUUUAUCUAAUAGUCCAGUCAUAAUGUUAUAGAAAUUGAGAAA
Pseudophryne corroboree (corroboree frog) is the source of this 730-nucleotide long non-coding RNA. RefSeq lists it as uncharacterized. NCBI's taxonomy places the organism in Eukaryota, Metazoa, Chordata, Amphibia, Anura, Myobatrachidae. The transcript has 3 exons. The record is from RefSeq and is a predicted model, not a curated record.